This is a non-coding RNA of Pan troglodytes (chimpanzee), 148 nucleotides long. It matches the Rfam family "Metazoan signal recognition particle RNA". Rfam says of the family: The signal recognition particle (SRP) is a universally conserved ribonucleoprotein. It is involved in the co-translational targeting of proteins to membranes. Lineage: Eukaryota; Metazoa; Chordata; Mammalia; Primates; Hominidae. The record is from Rfam.
GCCGGGCAUGGUGGUGUGAGCCUGUAGUUCUAGCUACUUGGGAGGCUGAGGUGGGAGGAUCACUCGAGCCCAGGAGUUCAAGUCUGUAGUGAGCUAUGAUCGUGCUUGUGCACUCCAGCCUGGGCAACAGAGUGAGACCCUGCCUCCA